Molecule: ribosomal RNA, 407 nt
Filed under: uncultured bacterium
Lineage: Bacteria
Description: bacterial SSU rRNA
Rfam family: Bacterial small subunit ribosomal RNA
Source: RNAcentral
GGACCCGCACAAGUAGUGGAGCAUGUGGUUUAAUUCGAAGAUACGCGCAGAACCUUACCAACACUUGACAUGUUCGUCGCGACUCUAAGAGAUUAGAGUUUUCGGUUCGGCCGGACGAAACACAGGUGCUGCAUGGCUGUCGUCAGCUCGUGUCGUGAGAUGUUGGGUUAAGUCCCGCAACGAGCGCAACCCUCACUUUUAGUUGCCAUCAUUUAGUUGGGCACUCUGAAAGAACUGCCAGUGAUAAGCUGGAGGAAGGUGGGGAUGACGUCAAGUCCUCAUGGCCCUUACGUGUUGGGCUACACACGUGCUACAAUGGUAUCUACAACAGGAAGCAAAACCGCGAGGUUAAGCAAAUCCUUAAAAGAUGCCUCAGUUCGGAUUGCACUCUGCAACUCGAGUGCAUG